AAGCGCUUGCGCCUGAUGGACGUCGACCGGCGCACGGGUGAGUAACGCGUAUCCAACCUGCCCCACACUAAGGGAUAACCCGCAGAAAUGUGGACUAAUACCUUAUAUUUUCCACCAAGGGCAUCGUCGAUGGAACAAAGAUUUAUCGGUAUGGGAUGGGGAUGCGUCCGAUUAGGUUGUUGGCGGGGUAACGGCCCACCAAGCCUUCGAUCGGUAGGGGUUCUGAGAGGAAGGUCCCCCACAUAGGAACUGAGACACGGUCCUAACUCCUACGGGAGGCAGCAGUGAGGAAUAUUGGUCAAUGGGCGUGAGCCUGAACCAGCCAAGUAGCGUGCAGGAAGACGGCCCUAUGGGUUGUAAACUGCUUUUAUGCGGGGAUAAAGGAGUCCACGUGUGGAUUUUUGCAGGUACCGCAUGAAUAAGGACCGGCUAAUUCCGUGCCAGCCGCCGCGGUAAAAGGG
This 461-nucleotide ribosomal RNA is filed under the name uncultured Bacteroidales bacterium. RNAcentral's name for it is "bacterial SSU rRNA". It matches the Rfam family "Bacterial small subunit ribosomal RNA", at positions 74 to 528 of the family's 1533-position model. Lineage: Bacteria; Pseudomonadati; Bacteroidota; Bacteroidia; Bacteroidales. The record is from RNAcentral.